UGGGGAAUCUUCCGCAAUGGACGAAAGUCUGACGGAGCAACGCCGCGUGAGUGAAGAAGGUUUUCGGAUCGUAAAACUCUGUCUUUUGGGGCGAACGUGAGUAUGGUGAACAAUCAUAGUCAGUGACGGUACCAAAGGAGGAAGCCACGGCUAACUACGUGCCAGCAGCCGCGGUAAUACGUAGGUGGCAAGCGUUGUCCGGAAUUAUUGGGCGUAAAGAGCGCGUAGGCGGGAUAGUCAGUCUGUUGUAAAGUGCGGGGCUCAACCCCGUGAUCGCAAUGGAAACAGCUAUUCUUGAGUGCAGGAGAGGAAAGUGGAAUUCCCAGUGUAGCGGUGAAAUGCGUAGAUAUUGGGAGGAACACCAGUGGCGAAGGCGACUUUCUGGACUGUGUCUGACGCUGAGGCGCGAAAGCCAGGGGAGCGAACGGGAUUAGAUACCCCGGUAGUCCUGGCCGUAAACGAUGGGUACUAGGUGUGGGAGGUAUCGACCCCUUCCGUGCCGGAGUUAACGCAAUAAGUACCCCGCCUGGGGAGUACGGUCGCAAGACUGAAACUUAAAUGAAUUGAC
This 568-nucleotide ribosomal RNA is filed under the name uncultured bacterium. RNAcentral describes it as "partial 16S ribosomal RNA". It matches the Rfam family "Bacterial small subunit ribosomal RNA", at positions 355 to 914 of the family's 1533-position model. The record is from RNAcentral.